This 331-nucleotide ribosomal RNA is filed under the name uncultured bacterium. RNAcentral's name for it is "bacterial LSU rRNA". It matches the Rfam family "Bacterial large subunit ribosomal RNA", at positions 83 to 487 of the family's 2925-position model. The record is from RNAcentral.
GGGUAGCGUUGCGUGCGGUGGGGCAUAAUAAUAGGGUAAACCAGGUAUUUAUAACUUGAAUACAUAGGGUUAUAAAAGCAAACCCGGGGAACUGAAACAUCUAAGUACCCGGAGGAAAGGACAUCAAUUAGAUACUCCCCUAGUAGCGGCGAGCGAACGGGGACCAGCCGAGCCAUGAGUGUGACUAGAAUGUGUUGGAAAGCACAACCAAAGUGGGUGACAGUCCCGUAUAGGAAGCAUGAUUGGACGUAUUAAGUAGGGCGGGACACGUGAAAUCCUGUUCGAAGAUCGGAGGACCACCUCCGAAGGCUAAGUACUCCUUACUGACCGA